Molecule: long non-coding RNA, 1340 nt
Filed under: Cyanistes caeruleus (blue tit)
Lineage: Eukaryota; Metazoa; Chordata; Aves; Passeriformes; Paridae
Description: lncRNA (ENSCCEG00000011303.1)
Source: RNAcentral
UUUGUGAGGGGGAGGAGUUGAUACCUCCUGCUGCCUCCUCUGACCCUCCUGCUCCUCCUCUGCAGUCACAUCACAGGAGUACAAGUCCUUUCCUCCAGGGACCUUUUUCACUAUUUGUGCAGUAUAGGCACUUGUGCCCUUGGGUCUGGAGAUGCCAGAAGAUGUUUGCAAGCACAGGUGGCUGAAACCAAUGUUUGGGUUUAUGUUCCAAGGACAACUUGGGUAACUGCUCUGGACACAUACAAUUCCUUCUCAGCUGUAGGUAUAAGAGUUUUGGAAAACUUUGCUACAUGCAGGGUGUGGAUGUCCUUUGGAUGUGUGACACAGGGUCUCCACAAACAAGGAGUUGUGUGCAUUGCCAGGCAGGACCCCAGGACAAAUGGGGACGUGGGUGGACUAAGGAACUGCAAGGGGAUAUGAGUUUGGAUCCCUCAGGGGAGCCCUGAUUUGCCCCUAUAAAUGUGAACUGAUGUUACCUCUCUGCCCUGCACAGAAAUCUUUACCUUACAUGACGCAUAUAGACAGAUAAAAUACAUUUCACUCAUUUUUUAAAGCCUAAAAUCAUUAAGUAACAUAACACAAGAAGUGCAUCAGGAUCCAAUUGACACAUUCUUAAGUGAGCUGAAUUGCAGUGGGCCUUUCACAAUAGCUUUGGUUAUAAAUUCAAAGGAGAGAGAAUGUUCUACCUCCUUCUGUGGAGCACACAGGAUUUCAUAAUGGAUUAUACCUGGUACCUACAGAUACUUCUUUGUGCUAUUGCCAGGUUAUAUCUUAGGAGGAAUUCAAGGCUGAAUCACUGCAAUUAUUAACAGCACUAUUGUUUCCUUCAUGGCCCCUGGACACAAUUACCCCAUACAGACUCUGCCAAAGAUAAGGAGAUACAUACCUUUUCUUUUCAGGCAUCCUCUGACCUUGCCCUUCUCUUAGGAGGCUGUUUUGUAGGGUGAUGUAGGGACUAAUUAAAUCAAAAGAGGAGCUCUUUGGUAGCUAAAUACCACUUCAGACAAUCAAAGAAAUAUUUUAUUUAUUUUCAUUUUAAAUUGGAUUGUUAAAAUUGUUAAAAAGAAUUACUAGCUUUGAAUGUCUUGAUUUAUGAUCAGAUUCUUUCCCAGCUUUGGAAACUCAUAAAGUAAGACAAAAUUUACUGGGGGCACGUGGUGUAUGAAGAAGCUUUUGCACAGGGAGUGACAGAGAUGCCUGGAAUUUUAUGAAAAUGAAGAUACUGAGCUAUCAGCAUGCCUGAUUAAUUAACACUUGUUUAUGUUCUGUUUCUUUCAACCAUAUUUCAACACCCUAGAUCUGAUUCUAAUAAAAACCCUUUGAGAGUUUUUUUCCUUCCA